Long non-coding RNA from Oncorhynchus nerka (sockeye salmon), 575 nucleotides. RefSeq lists it as uncharacterized. The transcript has 4 exons. Lineage: Eukaryota; Metazoa; Chordata; Actinopteri; Salmoniformes; Salmonidae. The record is from RefSeq and is a predicted model, not a curated record.
CUAUUGCCUUGCAGUGCCUGGCAGCACUGUGUUCCUGUUAGAGCCACCAGCACAAGCACCAGACGAUGCUGAUCCAGGUGAAGGCCCCAGUGCAGCAGCAACAGCACAUGAUGGAGACGAUGAUGAGGAGGAGACCAUCUCUCUGGAUUCCAGAAGGCAUGAGGACCCAGAUGCUAUACAGUGGGAAAACCAGCCUGGCAACAUAGUGCGUAUUAAUAAAAGGACACCACAUCCUGCCAAAUUCCAGCUGCGCUAAUUGUAUUGUGUUCACAGAGCUCACAAGCUAUCAGAAAGUUGUAUGGCAACCACCUCCGGCGCCAAAUAGAACUGGCAGACAUAGACAUUCAGUACAAGAAGAAAAAGAUGGAAAAUCUUGCACUGGAGUCCGAAAUAAAAAAGAGGACAAUUAGGAAACUGGACCUUGAAAUAAAAAAAACUUGAGAGGGAGCUCCAAGAAGAUGACACAGCUCAAAAUAAAAAUUAGGUAUAUUCUCGUAAAGUCAAGUGAGCCAUGACAUAUGAGCUCUUAUUGUGAGCACACAGGACGGUGGCAUCUUUCUAAGGUUUUUUUUAUU